RNAcentral lists this ribosomal RNA (253 nucleotides) under uncultured bacterium. Its description in RNAcentral is "partial 16S ribosomal RNA". It matches the Rfam family "Bacterial small subunit ribosomal RNA", at positions 524 to 776 of the family's 1533-position model. The record is from RNAcentral.
UACGUAGGGGGCAAGCGUUGUCCGGAUUCAUUGGGCGUAAAGAGCGUGUAGGCGGCCAGGUAGGUCGGUUGUGAAAACUGGAGGCUCAACCUUCAGAGGUCGACCGAAACCAUCUGGCUAGAGUCCGGGAGAGGAGAGUGGAAUUCCUGGUGUAGCGGUGAAAUGCGUAGAUAUCAGGAGGAACACCCAUGGCGAAGGCAGCAAACUGGUCCGUAUCUGACGCUGAGGCGCGAAAGCGUGGGUAGCAAACAGG